Long non-coding RNA from Sceloporus undulatus (fence lizard), 1805 nucleotides. RefSeq lists it as uncharacterized. NCBI's taxonomy places the organism in Eukaryota, Metazoa, Chordata, Lepidosauria, Squamata, Phrynosomatidae. The transcript is spliced from 3 exons. The record is from RefSeq and is a predicted model, not a curated record.
GGAAAGAACAAAAAUUGCAAAACAAAUUAAAAAAAGAAUUAUAGAAAUUUGGAUAUUUUUAAGGUUGUAUCUGAUGAAAUGGCAAAGAGAAACCAUGUCAGAUCUGCCGAGGAAUGCAGAAGCAAAUCCAAAAAAAUGAGAUUUGAGUAUAGAAAGGUUGUGAAACAUAAUCAGAGAAGUGGAAGCAACCCUAUUACAUGUCCCUUUUAUAGGGAACUAGAGGAAAUCUUUCAUGGGGAUGUUAGCAUCACCCCUCAUAGGUUAUCCCGAAGUCUUCAUUUUGAAAGGGAGGGUGAAACCACAAAUGUGACUGAGGAAACCGCAUCCACCUCCAUGGCUAACACAGGCGAUGGAGGCACCCAGGAAACAACUACCAGACAAGACAGUGAUGAAGGCAAGUAGCCCAUCUGUAAUGCCUGAAGAUUUCUGCUAUGUGCGUGACAACAUUACUAUUUUGAUAAAAUAACAAAUGCUUUACUCUUUCUUUCCCCUUGAAAUUUUUCAGAUUCUGAUGACACUUGUCUCGAUGACACAAUCAUAAGUAUACCUUUCACCAUUUUGGAAAGUGGACCUACGCAAAUAGCAGGUGCGACUGGAGAACAAUUGGGAGACUUGCAAAGACGUGCAGAUGAUACAAGCGGUGGAACUGAUGCACGUAACGAUCCCGAUGAGGAACAGGAACAACCCAAUGUAUUGCUGUCUCCUGGAACAAGACUCUGAUCAAACAGGAACAGGAAUCGUCGCGCCAGAAGAGGAGAACAUAUUGCGCGCACUAUAAUGCAGAGUGCUAGUCGAGAGGCCCAACUUACCCGGAGAACACAGGAACGGUUCAUGGAGAUUGUACACGACAGCAUGAAAGACUGUAGGAGGACAGAAAUGGAACUUGUAAAUAUUAUGAAGGAAGAUGUAAGGAGAAGUGCACAGGACAGACAGAGAAUGUUGCAGUACAUGGAGACCAUGACUGAACUGUACCGGAGGAAAGUUGAUCAUGAAUGUUCACUUCCAACGGGGCAACAUGUUACUAUCGCCCAAGGAACCAUGCACACAUCAUUCAGGGCAUCUCCGGGUGAUAUUCCUCCCUCAACACCAGGCCCAGCUGUCUGUACAGAUUUCCAGGAGCAACCAUCCCCAUCGUAUGUUGGUGGGCAAUGUCAAGGGAACAAUUCCCCUGAACUCUUUGAUGAACUUCCUCCUGCUUAUGCUCCUGAUGGUUGUCCUGUCACUCCCACUAGUAACAUUAUUGAUGAUGACAACACAUUAGAGAACAUCAACAGGGAUGUUCAGAAUGCUGUGGAAGUCACUGAUCCCCUUCAGAAUGAAGGCUGCAUUGGAACCGUGCAAUGUGAGAGCAAUGCUGGAACAUCUUCCUUGCAAUGCGCUGUUGCACCUCAACAAAAACAAAAUAAACCAUGCAGUUCUCGUACUGGGAGGAUAAUCAAGAAAAAAAAAAUAUUUUCCCCAUAAGGGAAAACAUUUAUAGGGAAAAGGUUAUGUUUUGAAACCGCAGAUAUGUUUCAGCAUUCAAUGUUUACCCUGUUAUGUGCCCGAUAAGGAGGGACUGUAACCAUUUCUCCUUGAACCAAAUUAAAGUUUAGUUUUCAUGUUAAGGAAAACGUUUGUAUGUCACCAUGUGCAUAUGGAUAUGUUCUGACAUAAUGUAUAUACAGUUUAUAUAAAAGCCUGCUUUGUUUACAUAAUGGAAAACAAGUCAACAGACAGUUUUUUUUGUAAAGAAAAAAGAUAUUUAAUCGUGUUUAAAAAUGUUAAGUUAUAUUGUUGACAAAAUACAGCUGUGUUCUCUGAAA